AUUGAACGCUGGCGGCAGGCCUAACACAUGCAAGUCGAGCGAGCGGCGGACGGGUGUGUAUUGUAUGGGGACUGCCCCAUCUAGGGGGAUAUCUAUUGGAAACGCUAGCUAUUACCCCACACUAUCGGAUAACCCAUAUGGGAUUAGCUAGUAGGUGUGGUAAUGGCUCACCUAGGCGACGAUCCCUAUCUGGUUUGAGAGGAUGAUCAGCCACACUGGGACUGAGACACGGGCCAGAGUCCUACGGAGGCAGCAGUGGGGAAGAUUGCACAAUGGGCGCAAGCCUGAUGCAGCCAUGCCGCGUGUAUGAAGAAGGCCGUAGGGUUGUAAAGUACUUGCAGUCGGGAGGCGUUACCGGCAGAAGAAGCACCGGCUAACUCCGUGCCAGCAGCCGCGGUAAUUC
This 403-nucleotide ribosomal RNA is filed under the name uncultured bacterium. RNAcentral describes it as "partial 16S ribosomal RNA". It matches the Rfam family "Bacterial small subunit ribosomal RNA", at positions 30 to 526 of the family's 1533-position model. The record is from RNAcentral.